RNAcentral lists this ribosomal RNA (468 nucleotides) under Arthrobacter sp. Its description in RNAcentral is "bacterial SSU rRNA". It matches the Rfam family "Bacterial small subunit ribosomal RNA", at positions 168 to 649 of the family's 1533-position model. The record is from RNAcentral. Lineage: Bacteria; Bacillati; Actinomycetota; Actinomycetes; Micrococcales; Micrococcaceae.
ACCGGAAAUGACUCCUCAUCGCAUGGUGGGGGGUGGAAAGCUUUUUGUGGUUUUGGAUGGACUCGCGGCCUAUCAGCUUGUUGGUGAGGUAAUGGCUCACCAAGGCGACGACGGGUAGCCGGCCUGAGAGGGUGACCGGCCACACUGGGACUGAGACACGGCCCAGACUCCUACGGGAGGCAGCAGUGGGGAAUAUUGCACAAUGGGCGAAAGCCUGAUGCAGCGACGCCGCGUGAGGGAUGACGGCCUUCGGGUUGUAAACCUCUUUCAGUAGGGAAGAAGCGAAAGUGACGGUACCUGCAGAAGAAGCGCCGGCUAACUACGUGCCAGCAGCCGCGGUAAUACGUAGGGCGCAAGCGUUAUCCGGAAUUAUUGGGCGUAAAGAGCUCGUAGGCGGUUUGUCGCGUCUGCCGUGAAAGUCCGGGGCUCAACUCCGGAUCUGCGGUGGGUACGGGCAGACUAGAGUGA